GACGAACGCUGGCGGCGUGCUUAACACAUGCAAGUCGAACGGAAAGGCCCUGCUUUUGUGGGGUGCUCGAGUGGCGAACGGGUGAGUAACACGUGAGUAACCUGCCCUUGACUUUGGGAUAACUUCAGGAAACUGGGGCUAAUACCGGAUAGGAGCUCCUGCUGCAUGGUGGGGGUUGGAAAGUUUCGGCGGUUGGGGAUGGACUCGCGGCUUAUCAGCUUGUUGGUGGGGUAGUGGCUUACCAAGGCUUUGACGGGUAGCCGGCCUGAGAGGGUGACCGGCCACAUGGGGACUGAGAUACGGCCCAGACUCCUACGGGAGGCAGCAGUGGGGAAUAUUGCACAAUGGGCGGAAGCCUGAUGCAGCAACGCCGCGUGCGGGAUGACGGCCUUCGGGUUGUAAACCGCUUUCGCCUGUGACGAAGCGUGAGGGACGGUAAUGGGUAAAGAAGCACCGGCUAACUACGU
RNAcentral lists this ribosomal RNA (467 nucleotides) under uncultured bacterium. RNAcentral's name for it is "partial 16S ribosomal RNA". It matches the Rfam family "Bacterial small subunit ribosomal RNA", at positions 28 to 506 of the family's 1533-position model. The record is from RNAcentral.